UACGUAGGGUGCGAGCGUUAAUCGGAAUUACUGGGCGUAAAGCGUGCGCAGGCGGUUAUGCAAGACAGGUGUGAAAUCCACGAGCUCAACUUGGGAACUGCACUUGUGACUGCAUAGCUAGAGUACGGUAGAGGGGAGGGGAAUUCCGCGGGUAGGAGUGAAAUGGGUAGAUAUGCGGAGGAACACCGAUGGCGAAGGCAGCUCCCUGGACCUGUACUGACGCUCAUGCACGAAAGGGUGGGGAGCAAACAGG
This 253-nucleotide ribosomal RNA is filed under the name uncultured bacterium. RNAcentral describes it as "partial 16S ribosomal RNA". It matches the Rfam family "Bacterial small subunit ribosomal RNA", at positions 524 to 776 of the family's 1533-position model. The record is from RNAcentral.